UACACAUGCAGUCGAACGAUGAACCGGGUGCUUGCNCCNNUGGGAUUAGUGGCGAACGGGUGAGUAACACGUGAGUAACCUGCCCUGGACUCUGGGAUAACCCCGAGAAAUCGGAGCUAAUACCGGAUAUGACCAUUCUCCGCAUGGGGGGUGGUGGAAAGUUUUUCGGUCUGGGAUGGACUCGCGGCCUAUCAGCUUGUUGGUGAGGUAAUGGCUCACCAAGGCGUCGACGGGUAGCCGGCCUGAGAGGGUGACCGGCCACACUGGGACUGAGACACGGCCCAGACUCCUACGGGAGGCAGCAGUGGGGAAUAUUGCACAAUGGGCGCA
RNAcentral lists this ribosomal RNA (330 nucleotides) under bacterium xpnta448lbim18onnp9.8. Its description in RNAcentral is "bacterial SSU rRNA". It matches the Rfam family "Bacterial small subunit ribosomal RNA", at positions 50 to 379 of the family's 1533-position model. The record is from RNAcentral.